GAAACGACUGCUAAGACUGGAUAGGAAACAGAAAGGCAUCUUUUUGUUUUUAAAAGACCUUUUUAGGAAGGUAUGCUUAAAGAUGGGCUUGCGCCACAUUAGUUAGUUGGUAGGGUAAUGGCCUACCAAGACGAUGAUGUGUAGCUGGACUGAGAGGUCGAACAGCCACAUUGGGACUGAGACACGGCCCAAACUCCUACGGGAGGCAGCAGUAGGGAAUUUUCGGCAAUGGAGGAAACUCUGACCGAGCAACGCCGCGUGAACGAUGAAGUAUUUCGGUAUGUAAAGUUCUUUUAUUGAAGAAGAAAAAAUAGUGGAAAAACUAUCUUGACGUUAUUCAAUGAAUAAGCCCAAUAACUAUGUGCCAGCAGCCGCGGUAAUACAUAGGGGGCGAGCGUUAUCGGAAUUAUUGGGCGUAAAGGGUGCGUAGGCGGUUAGGAAAGUCUAUAAUUUAAUUUCAGUGCUUAACGCUGUCUUGUUAUAGAAACUACCUUGACUAGAGUUAGAUAGAGGCAAGCGGAAUUCCAUGUGUAGCGGUAAAAUGUGUAAAUAUAUGGAGGAACACCAGAAGCGUAGGCGGCUUGCUGGGUCUUGACUGACGCUGAGGCACGAAAGCGUGGGUAGCAAACAGGAUUAGAUACCCUGGUAGUCCACGCCGUAAACGAUGAGUACUAAGUGUCGGGGUAAAACUCGGUACUGAAGUUAACACAUUAAGUACUCCGCCUGAGUAGUACGUACGCAAGUAUGAAACUUAAAGGAAUUGACGGGACUCCGCACAAGCGGUGGAUCAUGUUGUUUAAUUCGAAGAUACACGAAAAAUCUUACCAGGUCUUGACAUGCUUUGCAAAGCUAUAGAAAUAUAGUGGAGGUUAUCAGGGACACAGGUGGUGCAUGGUUGUCGUCAGUUCGUGUCGUGAGAUGUUAGGUUAAGUCCUAAAACGAGCGCAACCCUUGUCGUUAAUUGCCAGCACGUAAUGGUGGGGACUUUAGCGAGACUGCCAAUUAAAAAUUGGAGGAAGGUGAGGAUUACGUCAAAUCAUCAUGCCCCUUAUGAUCUGGGCUACAAACGUGAUACAAUGGCUGUUACAAAGAGUAGCUGAAGCGCGAGUUUUUGGCAAAUCUCAAAAAAGCAGUCUCAGUCCGGAUUGAAGUCUGUAACUCGACUUCAUGAAGUUGGAAUCGCUAGUAAUCGCGAAUCAGCAUGUCGCGGUGAAUACGUUCUCGGGGUUUGUACACACCGCCCGUCA
RNAcentral lists this ribosomal RNA (1247 nucleotides) under 'Erigeron sp.' witches'-broom phytoplasma. RNAcentral describes it as "bacterial SSU rRNA". It matches the Rfam family "Bacterial small subunit ribosomal RNA", at positions 153 to 1399 of the family's 1533-position model. Lineage: Bacteria; Bacillati; Mycoplasmatota; Mollicutes; Acholeplasmatales; Acholeplasmataceae. The record is from RNAcentral.